RNAcentral lists this long non-coding RNA (1643 nucleotides) under Marmota monax (woodchuck). The record is from RNAcentral. Lineage: Eukaryota; Metazoa; Chordata; Mammalia; Rodentia; Sciuridae.
GGUUUAGUAGCAGCCUUUUGUUGUAACUCCUUCCCUGAUAGUCCUUCCUCUUCUGAACUUUCUUCCUCUUUCUGACUAGAGUUCCUGGGCUUUUAUCAACGUAUGCCCUAACUGUUCUUGGUUUUACUGGGGUGCCUCCUUCCUUUAGCAAUUUACUUAACACCCUUUCGGUUUGAUUUUUCUAACUUCUGAUCCCAUAUUUCCGUAACAAAGACAACACAACACACCAAGAUAAAACAAAACAAAAACACACUGUAUCAAUUUUUUCUGUUUUCUUGAAAUGGCCAUCCGUCCUCUCGCCCUAUCUGCUUCCUCAGGGACGAGCAGCUUUCCUCCCGUCCUAUCUAUUUCUAGGGACGGGCAGCUUACCUUGUCACCUACCCCCGAGCAUCCCGGAGUUCCCCGUACGGGUCACAUUUGCCGCAGUCCGGCUGGGCAAAAUAACCGGGAGGUGAUAAGCAACUUGAAGGUUGAAGCAGGAACUACUUUAUUGCAGAACAGCAGAGGUAUAUAUACCUAACUGAUUACACACAGCUUGACUGAAUUAGCAUCAUCCAGAUACAGCAAUCAGCCAAUAAGGAAUCCCCACCAUCUUAAUGGCACAGUGGCGUUGCCUCACAAACCACUCCUCCUGGCAAACUGCCAGGCACCAUCUUGACUUGAUAGUGGCACCCAACAAAGAUCCCCAUGUCAUGGUAUUUAGGCACACCGUGAAGGCAGGGGGCAUAGGGAGAGCCCCCUGGGCCUGUGCUGAGGUGGGUCUUGAACACACACCUGAGGUGCUGAGUGGGUGUCAGGCAGAGCUGAAUUGUGUCCCCCACAUCCACAGGUUGGAAUCCUGACCUCCAGGACCUCAGAAUGUGACUGUAUCAAGAUAAAAUGUGGUUGUGAGGCUGGCCUCUAAUCUCGAUGCCUGCUGUCCUUAUAAUAAGAGGAAAUCAGGAUAAGAGGCCUCAGAAGAAAUCGACCUACCAAACUUCACUCAGAGAAGGUGGAUUUCUACUCAGUAGUCACAGUAUGUUAUUUUGUUAUGGCAGCUGGGGCAAACUAAUACAGUGCCUGUCUCCUCACUAGUUCUCUUCCAGUGGAGGAGAUAUCCAUGGUCAGUUGGGUGUAAGGGUCUGUGAAUUGGGCCUGAAGUUAGAGCUGUAAAGUCCCCAACAUACAGAUAAAUGGAAUCACCACAGGAUGGGGUCACCCACAGGGCCUCUGCAGAAAAGAGAAGAUGGUCUAUUUCUGCCCCUGAGAAAGGCCCUUCCUUUAGGGUCAGAGAGGCAGGACGGAGUAUAGAUUCCCAUGUCAUGGAAGCCCAGAGGAGAGAUUAGUCAAGGGUAGAGGCUGAGAGGCUAGGGAUAGUAAGAUCAGUACUCAGGACUGGACGUUGGUAUCCCCCAGAGGCACUGUUGAAGCCCCACUGUGUGGUGGUAUUUAGAGGCAGGGCCUUUAGGAGGUAGGUUUAUGUUAGGGUCUGUAAACAAGUCAGGAUGGAGCCUGGCAAAAUGCCAGAGGCAGUGGUUUGUGAAGUAACGCCAGCGAGCCAUUAAGUAUGGAGAUUCCUUAUUGGUUGACUGCUGUAUCUAGUUUAUGUUAAUUAAUAUAAGCUGUGUGGAAUGUAUAUAUACCCCUCCUGUCCUACAAUAAAC